UGGGGAAUUUUGGACGAUGGGCGAAAGCCUGAUCCAGCAAUGCCGCGUGUGUGAAGAAGGCCUUCGGGUUGUAAAGCACUUUUGUCCGGAAAGAAAUCCUUGGCUCUAAUACAGUCGGGGGAUGACGGUACCGGAAGAAUAAGCACCGGCUAACUACGUGCCAGCAGCCGCGGUAAUACGUAGGGUGCAAGCGUUAAUCGGAAUUACUGGGCGUAAAGCGUGCGCAGGCGGUUUGCUAAGACCGAUGUGAAAUCCCCGGGCUCAACCUGGGAACUGCAUUGGUGACUGGCAGGCUAGAGUAUGGCAGAGGGGGGUAGAAUUCCACGUGUAGCAGUGAAAUGCGUAGAGAUGUGGAGGAAUACCGAUGGCGAAGGCAGCCCCCUGGGCCAAUACUGACGCUCAUGCACGAAAGCGUGGGGGAGCAAACAGGAUUAGAUACCCUGGUAGUCCACGCCCUAAACGAUGUCAACUAGUUGUUGGGGAUUCAUUUCCUUAGUAACGUAGCUAACGCGUGAAGUUGACCGCCUGGGGAGUACGGUCGCAAGAUUAAAACUCAAAUGAAUUGACGGGGUCAUA
Molecule: ribosomal RNA, 576 nt
Filed under: uncultured bacterium
Lineage: Bacteria
Description: partial 16S ribosomal RNA
Rfam family: Bacterial small subunit ribosomal RNA
Source: RNAcentral